Molecule: ribosomal RNA, 254 nt
Filed under: uncultured bacterium
Lineage: Bacteria
Description: partial 16S ribosomal RNA
Rfam family: Bacterial small subunit ribosomal RNA
Source: RNAcentral
UACGAAGGGGGACUAGCGUUGUUCGGAAUCACUGGGCGUAAAGCGCACGUAGGCGGGUUCUUAAGUCAGGGGUGAAAUCCCGAGGCUCAACCUCGGAACUGCCUUUGAUACUGGGAAUCUUGAGUUCGGGAGAGGUGAGUGGAAUUGCGAGUGUAGAGGUGAAAUUCGUAGAUAUUCGCAAGAACACCAGUGGCGAAGGCGGCUCACUGGCCCGAUACUGACGCUGAGGUGCGAAAGCGUGGGGAGCAAACAGG